This 308-nucleotide long non-coding RNA is filed under the name Pan troglodytes (chimpanzee). Its description in RNAcentral is "long non-coding RNA NONPTRT007700". Lineage: Eukaryota; Metazoa; Chordata; Mammalia; Primates; Hominidae. The record is from RNAcentral.
UCAGAUAUUUCCAGUUGAUUUGGAACUCCCUGGUGGCGUGGGAAGCUGUGUUAACAUUUUCGCAUUUGUCUGUUGCAGUAGGAGUUGGGGGGUGAAUUCUUUUAAAAGAGAAUGUGCCAUACAAAACAUUAUCCCUUUGGACUGAACUCAUCGUGUGAGCACAGAUCCAGAGGUGAAGAUGUGUGAUGGUUUUGGACCAGUAAGCAGAUCGCCAGACCAGGAACACACACUGUGGUGUUUCUACUCAGCCUGUUGCCCUCUUCACAGAUCCUGUUUCCUUUGGAAGCAUCACUGAGGUGAGGCUGAAU